UACAGAGGGGGCAAGCGUUGUUCGGAAUUACUGGGCGUAAAGGGCGCGUAGGCGGCCUUCUACGUCAGACGUGAAAUCCCCCGGCUCAACCUGGGAAUUGCAUUCGAGACUGAAUAGCUAGGGUACGGUAGAGGGAAGUGGAAUUUCCGGUGUAGCGGUGAAAUGCGUAGAUAUCGGAAGGAACAUCAGUGGCGAAAGCGACUUCCUGGACCAGUACCGACGUUCAGGCACGAAAGCGUGGGGAGCAAACAGG
Molecule: ribosomal RNA, 253 nt
Filed under: uncultured bacterium
Lineage: Bacteria
Description: partial 16S ribosomal RNA
Rfam family: Bacterial small subunit ribosomal RNA
Source: RNAcentral